GAGGAAAAGCUGAUGCCUCUUCGUAAAGACAUUAUGAUGAUCUGGCUAGCCCAGAGGAGAGACAGCAAAGAUGGAAUAUUCUCAUAUGACAAAUCUGAUGCACAUGAUCCACAUGGGAGAGGUGACUACAAGCAUUUGCGCACAGCUGCGAAGUCGAGACAUUGUGUGCAGGCUGACUCAAAGCGUGGAGAUAUUUUCUCUGUUUGGAGAAAACUCAGAGGAGCCUGAGAUUGU
RNAcentral lists this long non-coding RNA (234 nucleotides) under Melopsittacus undulatus (budgerigar). RNAcentral's name for it is "lncRNA (ENSMUNG00000011829.2)". The record is from RNAcentral. Lineage: Eukaryota; Metazoa; Chordata; Aves; Psittaciformes; Psittaculidae.